AGUCCAUGUUGUGGACAUUUCCGAAACAAAUCUAUAAACCUUUCUCAUGCUUCAUAUAAUAACUCUCCAUCCAAUUGACUAAAACUAGUGAUAUUCAUUCUAAGUUU
Small nucleolar RNA from Coffea arabica (coffee), 107 nucleotides. NCBI's taxonomy places the organism in Eukaryota, Viridiplantae, Streptophyta, Magnoliopsida, Gentianales, Rubiaceae. The record is from RefSeq and is a predicted model, not a curated record.